RNAcentral lists this small RNA (299 nucleotides) under Pontibacter flavimaris. RNAcentral describes it as "Pontibacter sp. S10-8 5' ureB small RNA". It matches the Rfam family "5' ureB small RNA". The record is from Rfam by way of RNAcentral. Lineage: Bacteria; Pseudomonadati; Bacteroidota; Cytophagia; Cytophagales; Hymenobacteraceae.
CAUGGUCUAUCUGGUCAGAAGCAAUAAAAUGUACGUGUGUGUCAAUACCGCCUGCUGUCGCUAUGAGGCCGCUACCGUCGUGUACUUCUGUGGCUGCGCCUAUGAUCAUAUCAGGUUCAACACCAUCUAUAGUAUCCGGAUUACCGGCUUUGCCAAUAUGCACGAUUCUUCCGUUCCGUAUGCCAAUAUCUGCUUUUAUGAUACCCCAGUGAUCUAUAAUGAUGACACCUGUUAUUGCCAGAUCCAGCACGCUCUCGCUGCGCAUGGCUGUUGAGGAUUGCGCCAUGCCAUCCCGGAUG